RNAcentral lists this ribosomal RNA (213 nucleotides) under Triticum aestivum (bread wheat). RNAcentral's name for it is "partial small subunit ribosomal RNA". The record is from RNAcentral. Lineage: Eukaryota; Viridiplantae; Streptophyta; Magnoliopsida; Poales; Poaceae.
AUGAACCGCAUAAGCUGGAACUGUCGAGGGCUUGGGAACCCUGAGAGAGUUCGCGAGCUUCGCAAAAUUGUGAAGCAAGAAGGUCCCGCCCUUCUCUUUGUUAUGGAAACGAAGAUUAAGGGUAAACGGGUGGAGAACCUGAAAUCUGUCCUAGGGUUUGAAGGUUGUUUUGUGGUCGAUAACAGUGGUUUAAGUGGUGGCAUUGGCUUGUUU